CAGUCGCCGCGGGAAAACGAAGGGUGCAAGCGUUACUCGGAAUUACUGGGCGUAAAGCGUGCGUAGGUGGUGGUUUAAGUCCGUUGUGAAAGCCCUGGGCUCAACCUGGGAAUUGCAGUGGAUACUGGGUCACUAGAGUGUGGUAGAGGAUAGUGGAAUUUCCGGUGUAGCAGUGAAAUGCGUAGAGAUCGGAAGGAACAUCUGUGGCGAAGGCGACUAUCUGGGCCAACACUGACACUGAGGCACGAAAGCGUGGGGAGCAAACAGGAUUAGAUACCCCGGUAGUCCCUGUCUCUUAUAA
Molecule: ribosomal RNA, 301 nt
Filed under: uncultured bacterium
Lineage: Bacteria
Description: partial 16S ribosomal RNA
Rfam family: Bacterial small subunit ribosomal RNA
Source: RNAcentral